This 104-nucleotide small nuclear RNA is filed under the name Perkinsus marinus ATCC 50983. Its description in RNAcentral is "U2 spliceosomal RNA". It matches the Rfam family "U2 spliceosomal RNA", at positions 1 to 104 of the family's 192-position model. From Rfam's summary of the family: U2 is a small nuclear RNA (snRNA) component of the spliceosome (involved in pre-mRNA splicing). Lineage: Eukaryota; Perkinsozoa; Perkinsida; Perkinsidae. The record is from Rfam by way of RNAcentral.
AUACCUUCUCGGCCUUUUGGCUAUGAUCAAGUGUAGUAUCUGUUCUUAUAAGUGUGACAACUUAUAUGUUAGCUACUGCUAACUUGAACUGUCACAACAAUUUU